CAGCCAGAGGUCUUAGCCUCUCCAGCCCCUUGUCAGUGUUUUUAUUUGGAGUAAAGCAGACAUGGUUUAGGAUUUGUGUAAUCCUGACCAAUGAAACAACACUUAUGCUCUCAAAAAUCCACACCCAAAUCUUAUGCUGGCAUUUAAUUAAAAUAUUUAUCCAGGGCAGAGAGGCCGUGGCACACACCUUUAAUCCCAGCACUCAGGAGGCAGAGGCAGGCAGAUCCUAGAGUUCGAGUCCAGCCUGGUCUACAGAGUGAGUUCCAGGAACCCAGGGCUACACAGAGAAGCACUUUCUCUAAACACUCAAACCACCAAAAACAAAAACAAAAAUUAUCCAGAAAAACUCAGUUUAAUAAGCCUCCACAAACUAGAACCUGCAAUAUCAUUUUCUUCUUCUAAGUCACACACGCUGCUUUGGGCGCUGGGACCUCUGAUUCAUGGAGAAUAUGUUAGGGUUGGCUUUCUAUAUCUUUUGUCACAGAAGAUUUCUGCUUUGUUUAAUAUUUAAUAAGACUAAAUUAAUUUUAGUGUCUUUGUAUUCAUAGCAACAAAAGUCUGGUAGAACUGAUUUCCAAGGCUUCCGUUCAAACAGCGAUGGCAAAAAGUAUGAAGUUAAGUCUUCACUGCUUCCGAUUAGCCUACAUCAGGAAAAGAUAAUGAUUCUCCCUAAGAUAUCAAACUCAAUAUUCAAUUUUAUUGUGAGUGGGGACAAUAAUGACCAAUGUCACUGUGGUCAGAUGCAGAGAUUCAGCAAUGCAAUCUAGCUUUUCUAUCUCUGGAGAGACAUCUUUCCACUCGUGCGACUCAAGGAGUACCUGACCCAUUCGGAUACUUUGCACCCUGCCGGGUGAAACCCCUCUACGGUCUACGUCACUUGAGUUAGUGACCACCGGUUCAUGCAAGUCCCCGGGACCUGAUGGGCAUCCCGAGGUGGGUAGCGACUGAUGGUCUUGGCUUCCUGCCCCUUGCAAGGUGCGCCUGGACCCUUGCCUUCAGCCCUCGGUCUGGCCAUUCCUGCACGCCAUGCCCGGUGCCCUGGACUAACUCUUCUUGGUUUCGGGUCAGCCAAGGUGCGGAACCGUCCCGGGCGCGCCAUCCGAGCUCGGCGGGCUGCGCGGCGGUCCCCGGGCGGGGCGGGCGCGGGUCCGAGCGGCCGAGGCGAGGCGCGGGCGGAGCAUGUGACCACGGCGCGCGGGGCUGGGCGCGCAGUGCCGCGCGGUGGCAGCGGCGGGGAGAGCAAUGGAGGCCGCGGGCGCCUGAGAGCUGGCCGCGCUGCUGCUGGGGCUGCUGCAGCCGAGGCUCGGCGGGCUGGGACGUCCCCGGGACGCGCGUCGCCCGUCAUCCCUCCCUCCACCGUGGCGCCCGGUGAAAGCGCAGGUGAAAACAAGAAAAGAAAGGGCAGAAAGGAGGGACCAGAAGAAUCUCAUGCUUCAAAGAAUUCUUUCCUAGAAGAUACUUCUGUGACUUCUAUUUACACUUUAUUGGCCAGAAAGUGUCAUGGCUGUGCAUAGCUGCAAGAGAGUCUGGAAAAGUAUUUAGCUUCCCAGCACCUACAACCAGAUACAGACUAAACACAGUGUGGAUUACUUUUGUAUACUCAAACUACACAUUCCCAAGAGCUGUGAUUUCCAGGCUGUCUCGGUGUUGCACCCCGGUUCCUGACGCACACACCCCCACGCGUGGGUCUGCUUUUUCACAAGAAGGAGAGUUUGGUGGAGAUUUACCCAGCAGAAGUAAUAGGAUUUGUGGCCCUU
This is an RNA transcript of Peromyscus californicus insignis, 1757 nucleotides long. It is a transcript of the gene named spidroin-2-like, with no coding region annotated. NCBI's taxonomy places the organism in Eukaryota, Metazoa, Chordata, Mammalia, Rodentia, Cricetidae. The transcript is spliced from 3 exons. The record is from RefSeq and is a predicted model, not a curated record.